UACGGGGGGGGCAAGCGUUGUUCGGAAUUACUGGGCGUAAAGGGCUCGUAGGCGGCCAACUAAGUCGGACGUGAAAUCCCUCGGCUUAACCGGGGAACUGCGUCCGAUACUGGAUGGCUUGAGAUUGGGAGAGGGAUGCGGAAUUCCAGGUGUAGCGGUGAAAUGCGUAGAUAUCUGGAGGAACACCGGUGGCGAAGGCGGCAUCCUGGACCGGCAUUGACGCUGAGGAGCGAAAGCCAGGGGAGCAAACGGG
This 253-nucleotide ribosomal RNA is filed under the name uncultured bacterium. Its description in RNAcentral is "partial 16S ribosomal RNA". It matches the Rfam family "Bacterial small subunit ribosomal RNA", at positions 524 to 776 of the family's 1533-position model. The record is from RNAcentral.